Molecule: ribosomal RNA, 291 nt
Filed under: uncultured bacterium
Lineage: Bacteria
Description: partial 16S ribosomal RNA
Rfam family: Bacterial small subunit ribosomal RNA
Source: RNAcentral
GGAUUAGAUACCCUGGUAGUCUAUACCGUAAACGAUGUGUGCUCGGUGUGUGCUCUUAAUCGGGUGCGCGCCUAAGCUAACGCGUUAAGCACACCGCCUGGGGAGUACGGCCGCAAGGCUAAAACUCAAAGGAAUUGACGGGGGCCCGCACAAGCAGCGGAGCGUGUGGUUUAAUUCGAUGCAACGCGAAGAACCUUACCUGGGCUUGACAUAUGGAUAGUAGUGAACCGAAAGGGGAUCGACCUACGGGAGUUCAAACAGGUGCUGCAUGGCUGUCGUCAGCUCGUGUCG